UGUGGAGUUAGUGCCAAUUGGUUAAAGGCCAAAAUUUGUUUUAAUUUAAAGUUAAUUGGAGCUAUCAAAAUAUUGUUUAUAAUUGAAUUAGUGUCGUUUAUUGAAAUCGAGCUAUUAAAAUGCUUAAAAUUGCAUUAGAAUUUGAUAUGCUCGCAAGCCACCUGCUGGACGAUUAGGAAGAAGAAGCACUCACAUUUUACGCAGCAUUGCUUAAAAGGGCUUAGGAUAUAUGAAUGUGAUCAAUUUCAUGUUUAAAGUGAAAUAAAUGUGUGGUUUUGUGUGUAAUUAAAAAAUACGACAGUUUAAGCGUACACAUACAUUUAUAUCAAAAGUCAAAGAGAAAAAAAUGCAAUUCUAAAGUGCUUUCAACUUGGUGCACAUAUGUAUGUACGUACAUAUGUUUGUACGUAUGGAUGUAGUUUGAUACGCAAGCCAUAGCAGACAAAAGUUAUUUGUAUGCAAUACUAUGCAAAUACACACAUGGAAUUUUUGCUCUUCUUUAACUUUCAUUCUUUGCUUGAAUGACUGCGAUUCCUAUGCUUAAAUCUUUUCGGUCCGUUAUUCGUUAUUUCUGGAGGCCGCCAAAGUGUCUGCUCAUUAUCUUCUGCGACCUUGUUUGCAUCGCAUUUUCUGACGUCAUAGCCUUUACUUUUAUUUGCCCCUCUUGCUAAAUAUUUUGUCUAAUCAUGCUUGGACUGUGGAAAAAUUACAUGUGCAAUAUGUAAAAUUACAGAGGCUACAAUUGAGUGGAAUAGCAACAUAUAAAAAGUCAAACUUUAAAGAACGCACCACUUUGAUUUUUUUGUGAUAAAACAUGAAAAUGAAGCGAAAACUUAAAAGCAUAAUCAAGUUGGAUUCGAAAUUCUCUGUGAACAUAUGGAUUAUCUUUCGAACGCUUUCCUGAAAUAUUAUAAUAAAAGCAAUUUCUAAGAAAAAUAAAAAUUGCUCGUUGCAUCGAAAAUGAACUUUAACAAGCCUCACAACACACACUCGUAAACACACACACACACACAUACAAUCACACUUGAUGCGCCGUCCUCAAAGCCGCAGGAGUGUGCACUGAGAACGGCAAACCGAGACGUCAACUGGAACUGGAACUGGUAGUGCCUUCACGUGGUGCGAAGGGAGGGCAGCGCGGAACGGUGCUGGAAAGUGUCUGCUGCUUGAGUUGGGUGUUCAAAGGGCAUGGUGCGUUAGGAUCGCAAUAAUCAAUUCUAUCGAUUGGCAUCAAAGAUCUCGGCCUUUUACUGACCUCCACGAUUUCAAAACGCACAUUUUUCCCGAGAUCGUACUUCAUUUAUCGAGAUAUGCAAAUUAUAAAUUUAAGUAAAACCUAAAUUAUUUGAAAUAAAGAGUCGAGCUAUGGCGGGUUUUCUAUUUUUCAGCCAAAUUUGCCACGCCCCAAUGGUUCCUUCUU
This is a long non-coding RNA of Drosophila montana, 1417 nucleotides long. RefSeq lists it as uncharacterized. NCBI's taxonomy places the organism in Eukaryota, Metazoa, Arthropoda, Insecta, Diptera, Drosophilidae. The record is from RefSeq and is a predicted model, not a curated record. The transcript is spliced from 6 exons.